CUCCUCCAAAAUUUCCGGAGUUGCUGUCAAAAAUAAUAAAUUUCGUUUUGAUUUCUCUAAAAUGCAACAUUUUUACUUUGUUUGAAUUCUUCGGUAAACAUUUGAAUUGUUUCAACUUUCAAAGUUUCCAUUUGUGCACCCAACAAAGUUUACCUUAAAAGCAACAUCUAAAACAAAAGAACCAAUUUAUGAUGUUCUUCUCUGUUAUCUAUCAUUCCCUACAUUAUCAAUUAGAUCUUGAACAAUGGGUUUCUUUUUGUACGGAUGCUCUGAAAUGUAAGAGGUGACAUUCUCAGAAACAAUAUCUAUUGAUCUAAUUGUCUCACCACCCACCUUCAGAGAAAGAAAGAGAUGGGGUUGCAAGAUAACGGGGAAGGAGACGGGUUGUCUAAUAUCUCAUUGGUAGAUAGAAACAAGUACCAUAGGAUGGAUGGAAAGCUUAUACAAAAUGAUGGUGAUAGACCCUCAGUUUAUCUUCGAUGUGCCCGGAAAACAAAUACAAAGAGAUUCGUUAUUACGUGUGCUAUAUUCGCCUCUCUCAAUACCAUUCUUGUUGGCUAUGAUAUAGGUGUUAUGAGUGGAGCAAUUUUGUUCAUUCAAGAGGACCUACAAAUAACGGAAGUGCAAGUAGAAGUUCUCGUAGGUUGUUUGAGCAUUAUGUCACUUUUUGGUAGUUUAGGUGGUGGGAAAGCCUCGGAUGCAAUUGGAAGAAAAUGGACCAUGGGUUUUGCAGCUGUUGUCUUUCAAACAGGUGCAUGUAUAAUGGCUGUUGCACCUUCAUUUUUUGUACUCAUGAUAGGCAGAAUCUUGGCCGGGAUAGGAAUAGGUUUUGGAGUCAUGAUCGCACCCGUUUAUAUUGCUGAAAUUUCCCCUACUUCUGCCAGAGGAUCUCUUACUUCUUACCCUGAAAUCUUCGUGAAUUUUGGUAUCCUGCUCGGUUAUGUCUCAAACUACGCAUUCUCAGGCCUUCCUGUACAUUACAGCUGGAGGGUUAUGCUUGCUGUGGGGAUUUUUCCAUCAGUGUUUAUUGGAUUUGCACUAUUCAUAAUCCCCGAGUCCCCGAGAUGGCUAGUUAUGCAGAACCGUAUUGAAGAUGCAAGAGCUGUCAUGAUAAAAACUAAUGAAAGUGAAACUGAAGUAGAAGAGAGAUUAGCUGAAAUUCAGAAAGCAGCUGUAACUGCUAAUUUGGAAAUAGAAGAGAAAGCUGUUUGGCGUGAGAUGCUGAAUCCUAAUCCUUCACUUCGCCGAAUGCUAAUUUCCGGUAUGGGAAUACAACUUUUUCAGCAGAUUACUGGUAUUGAUGCUACUGUAUGUUACGGCCCAACAAUAUUUAGAGAAGCUGGGAUCAAGAAUAAAACUUCUCUUCUCGCUGCUACUGUUGCUAUCGGAUUCUCCAAGACUAUUUUCAUCUUGAUUGCAAUAUUUCUCAUUGACCGAGUCGGAAGAAAGCCGUUGUUGUAUAUUAGCACAAUUGGGAUGACAACUUGCUUGUUUGGAUUAGUCAUUUCUCUUUGCUUUUCUGGUCAUGGAACCUUUGGGAUCUCCAUUGCAAUUUUGUUGGUGUGCUCAAAUGUAGCAUUUUUCUCAGUAGGAAUUGGUCCGAUUUGCUGGGUUUUGACAUCAGAAAUCUUUCCUCUAAAAUAUAGAGCUCAGGCAGCAGCUCUUGGAGCAGUUGCUAACAGAGUGAGCAGUGGCUUCAUUUCCAUGUCUUUUCUCUCAGUAGCACGUGCAAUUACGGUGGCGGGAACAUUCUUCAUCUUUUCUGUGAUUUCAGCUCUCUCAGUUGCUUUUGUUCACAUUUGUGUCCCUGAAACAAAAGGAAAAUCUCUGGAGCAGAUUGAAGUAAUGUUUCAGAAAGGGCACGAAUUUUAUAUACGUGAGUUAGAGCUAGCAGAUACCGAGCAUUUGGUGCAGAAAGAGUGACUGGUUGGUUUCAUCAAUUACACUGAUACGUUCUGGAUAGCUUGCAGUUGCAACCGCUAACGAGUUUCCAAUGUAUAAAAUACGAUACACAUCAAUUAUAUCAACUAAAAGAUUUGAGUCUUACAUGCUCAAAUGAAAAACAGCGUUGUUUAUGAAUAAUUACAUAAGAUGGUAGUGUUGCUUUGACAGGAAGACGAACUGAUUCUGCUCACAUCUGUUAGUGGCUGAAUAAGAACUUGACAAGCCUCAAAAUCAGAGAAGAAUCUGAACAUAUACAGUAUAAUAAAAUCAACUAAACGUUGCUCACUCAUUUUCAAGUUUCAACAACAUCUUUUGAGACAAUCUGACCUGAUAUUUGUGAUUUGUGAAGAGUCAAGUGCUCAGACGAAGAUAUGUGCACUACAAGAAAAGAAAAAAAGUAUUUUUUUUCCUUUGAAUUCUGUAUUUGAAAAUUUAAGUAAACCACAGACUAAGACAUUAUUCUUUACAUUCUUGUCUGACCUGUUGGAUUAACUUCAA
Molecule: RNA transcript, 2442 nt
Organism: Papaver somniferum (opium poppy)
Lineage: Eukaryota; Viridiplantae; Streptophyta; Magnoliopsida; Ranunculales; Papaveraceae
Gene name: probable polyol transporter 4
Exons: 3
Source: RefSeq, a predicted model, not a curated record